CAGUAGCCGCGGGAAUACGUAGGUGGCAAGCGUUGUCCGGAACUAUUGGGCGUAAAGGGCUCGCAGGCGGUUUCUUAAGUCUGAUGUGAAAGCCCCCGGCUCAACCGGGGAGGGUCAUUGGAAACUGGGAAACUUGAGUGCAGAAGAGGAGAGUGGAAUUCCACGUGUAGCGGUGAAAUGCGUAGAGAUGUGGAGGAACACCAGUGGCGAAGGCGACUCUCUGGUCUGUAACUGACGCUGAGGAGCGAAAGCGUGGGGAGCGAACAGGAUUAGAUACCCCAGUAGUCCCUGUCUCUUAUAC
This 301-nucleotide ribosomal RNA is filed under the name uncultured bacterium. RNAcentral's name for it is "partial 16S ribosomal RNA". It matches the Rfam family "Bacterial small subunit ribosomal RNA", at positions 509 to 807 of the family's 1533-position model. The record is from RNAcentral.